UACGAAGGGGGCUAGCGUUGCUCGGAAUCACUGGGCGUAAAGGGUGCGUAGGCGGAUCUUUAAGUCAGGGGUGAAAUCCCGAGGCUCAACCUCGGAACUGCCUUUGAUACUGGGGAUCUCGAGUCCGGGAGAGGUGAGUGGAACUGCGAGUGUAGAGGUGAAAUUCGUAGAUAUUCGCAAGAACACCAGUGGCGAAGGCGGCUCACUGGCCCGGAACUGACGCUGAGGUGCGAAAGCGUGGGGAGCAAACAGG
Molecule: ribosomal RNA, 253 nt
Filed under: uncultured bacterium
Lineage: Bacteria
Description: partial 16S ribosomal RNA
Rfam family: Bacterial small subunit ribosomal RNA
Source: RNAcentral